Molecule: long non-coding RNA, 536 nt
Organism: Daphnia pulex (common water flea)
Lineage: Eukaryota; Metazoa; Arthropoda; Branchiopoda; Diplostraca; Daphniidae
Exons: 2
Source: RefSeq, a predicted model, not a curated record
AAGACGAGUAUCCACAUGACUAGGAAUCAGCACUUUCUUAAUCAACAGAAAAGCAAUCGGACCACAAAACAGAAAACAACUCGCCAUGAAAGCAGCGGUAGUGUUAACAAUUCUAUUAGCGACUUUUAUUGCCGCAAUAGUUUCCGAAGAACAGCUGGAAGACAAUGAAUUGUCUGAGGACUUAAUACCAGAUCUUUUCACCGAAGGACAACGCUUGAGAUUUUACCGUUUCCGUACCGUCCAAUUGGUGCGCAAUAAAGAAACUGUCCAAGCCAAACCAGCGAGUGGUUUUUCUGGCUAUCGGCCUGGAUACGGAGCUUUCCGCGGACGCCGUUCUGUCAGUCAAACAGAGAAUUUAUAGUCUAUCGGGACAUCGGCAUUUGAAUAUUUGUUCUUUGAUUUAAUUGAAUUUUGACAUAACCAAGAAAUGGUUGGGUCCAUCUGAAUAUACUGAACUAUGCCUUUUACAUCGAAUAUUCUCAAAAUCAUGUAAUAUUUUGCUGUACAUUUGAAAAUAAAUAUUUUACUCGAAAAUU